AAGGACCUGAAAAAGAUGAGAAGACUCAGAGGGGUGGGGUCCAUGCAUGGGGAGACCUACUGUGCACCAGAAGAGAAGACCCGUCCCUGAGGCCUCUGUCCCUGAGACCUCUUCCCAGCUCUCUCGGCCCUGCUGUCAGCCUCACACUACUGGAAGUUUGAGCAAGCUCAGCUCUCAUUCUGGGACUGACUUUUCAUAUGUCUUCGCUACAUUGUUCCUCUGCUUGGCAUGCAAAGACUAUGGAGACCAACCAGCCUGGACCCCUGAGUCACCUUAUGGAGGAGAGGAAAGUGGCCUGAUUUGCACUGAACUUGAUGUAAUGAAAAAGAUGACUAAGUACAUCAGUAGACCCUGAGUAAAGCAGAUUAUUCUCCAUAAUGUGGGAAGGUCUCAUCCAACUGGUUGAAGUCCUCAAGAGAAAAGACUGACUCCUCCCUCCCCACCAAAGAAGAAAGAAUCUAGUCUCUGGACUAUGUUUGGAUUCAAGACUACAAUGUUAACUCUUUCCUGAGUCCCCAACCUGCUGGCCUGUUCUGCAGAUUUUAGGAUAAGCCAGACCCUACAACUGUGUACCCCAUUCUUUAAAAUAAAAUUCUUUCCCCCAUUAAAAAAAUCUAUCUA
Ictidomys tridecemlineatus (thirteen-lined ground squirrel) is the source of this 621-nucleotide non-coding RNA. The record is from RefSeq and is a predicted model, not a curated record. NCBI's taxonomy places the organism in Eukaryota, Metazoa, Chordata, Mammalia, Rodentia, Sciuridae.